RNAcentral lists this ribosomal RNA (128 nucleotides) under Vibrio alginolyticus. RNAcentral's name for it is "partial 16S ribosomal RNA". It matches the Rfam family "Bacterial small subunit ribosomal RNA", at positions 1 to 108 of the family's 1533-position model. The record is from RNAcentral. RNAcentral also lists the same sequence under 1 other name. Lineage: Bacteria; Pseudomonadati; Pseudomonadota; Gammaproteobacteria; Vibrionales; Vibrionaceae.
CUUAAAUUGAAGAGUUUGAUCAUGGCUCAGAUUGAACGCUGGCGGCAGGCCUAACACAUGCAAGUCGAGCGGAAACGAGUUAUCUGAACCUUCGGGGGACGAUAACGGCGUCGAGCGGCGGACGGGUG